RNAcentral lists this long non-coding RNA (169 nucleotides) under Cavia porcellus (domestic guinea pig). RNAcentral describes it as "lncRNA (ENSCPOG00000039325.1)". Lineage: Eukaryota; Metazoa; Chordata; Mammalia; Rodentia; Caviidae. The record is from RNAcentral.
UUGACCCAUAGACUGCACCGUAGGAAAGACCGGUACUUUCUUCAUUUCUAGGGAUGCGUUAUGCUCCCAGCCUGCUGCAAGUUUGUUUGUUUGUUUCUUAGCACUUAACGUCACCCGAAAUUUUAUGUGUGAGGGUUUUGGGAUUAUAUUUCCCUCACCCUGGAAGUGA